UAAUUUGCAAUAGAGAAGGCGACCCAGACCGUCUAUUUACUUCCGCCACACGCUAAAUACGUAAACUUCCGGUGGAAGUACGCUGGACAGGACACUCUGGUCGCUGGGUCCUACAAGUAAUUUUUGUCUGCUUGCCCUGAGACCACAUAAUAGUGACAAUUCUUCAGAUGAUGAUGAAUGGCUUGAAGAGUGUUAUGUAAAUUUUAUUUGCUCUCCGGAUAUUGACUUCUCCACUUACAGCCUAGUGAUGUGACCGCAGGCAUGUUACAGUUGUGGAGAAGAUGAACACCAGAUCUGUAGAUGACGUUGCUAAUAAACCCCAAACAGAGAGACAUGACAGCACUCAUGAUGGUGACAGACCCGAAGAACAUACCGACCACACAUACUCUUCAUCUUGUCAUGGAAUGGAAAAUGAAAUUCCAUACUCGGCACUGAGUCCCAAUACCCUGAUGCUUAAGAAGAAGAUAAGACGACUACAUCGCAAAGCCCAGAGACAGAAGCAGAAGAUAAAGACUAUGAAGAGGCUGAUUAAGCAGUUACGAUCCUGCAGUUAAACAAUGCCUAGUGGAUUAAAAUCACCUGAAUACAGCGUUUGCACCCCGGUAACUGAAUUAUAAAAAGGUGUGUGCUAGAAAAGAAAACAUCACCACUACAUACAGCAUCUCCUAAAUCGCUUUAUAGAUAAGCACCUGAACGACCAAAACAUACAGGGAUAUAGAAUGUAAUACUGACAUAUAAUCACACACAUAGGUUGGACUUGUGUCGUUUUUCAACCUCACCUACUAUGUAACUUUAUAGGGCUUGGAUGUUUGAUUUUAAUACAAUUUGAGUCAAUAA
Long non-coding RNA from Rana temporaria (common frog), 837 nucleotides. RefSeq lists it as uncharacterized. The transcript has 2 exons. The record is from RefSeq and is a predicted model, not a curated record. NCBI's taxonomy places the organism in Eukaryota, Metazoa, Chordata, Amphibia, Anura, Ranidae.